This 253-nucleotide ribosomal RNA is filed under the name uncultured bacterium. Its description in RNAcentral is "partial 16S ribosomal RNA". It matches the Rfam family "Bacterial small subunit ribosomal RNA", at positions 524 to 776 of the family's 1533-position model. The record is from RNAcentral.
UACGUAGGGGGCGAGCGUUGUCCGGAAUCAUUGGGCGUAAAGCGCGUGUAGGCGGCCCGGUAAGUCCGCUGUGAAAGUCCAGGGCUCAACCCUGGGAUGCCGGUGGAUACUGUCGGGCUCGAGUCCGGAAGAGGCGAGUGGAAUUCCUGGUGUAGCGGUGAAAUGCGCAGAUAUCAGGAGGAACACCGGUGGCGAAGGCGCCGCUCUGGGCCGAAACUGACGCUGAGGAGCGAAAGCAUGGGUAGCAAACAGG